Molecule: long non-coding RNA, 3112 nt
Organism: Rhea pennata
Lineage: Eukaryota; Metazoa; Chordata; Aves; Rheiformes; Rheidae
Exons: 2
Source: RefSeq, a predicted model, not a curated record
UUUACGCACAGCCCCGGCCCGGCUCAGCAGACCGCUCGGGGAGGCGACGCUGGGCUGGCGGGCUGCCGGCUCCCCCCGCGCCCGGGGAGGUAACGCCACGCCGGAGCGGAGAGCAGCCUGCACCGAGCGCCCUUCAGCCCCCCCAUCGAUCUCACCGCCGCUGACUGGGAAAAACUACUGCAGAUGAACUGAAGCACGUGAAAGAAGCUGGGGAGACGACCUCCACACACCCAAAGAUAAGCACAAACCGCUACAGAAUCUGAACCACUGUUCCCACAGGGCUUUUAAAUAAACUCCAGGGAUCUGGAAAAGCAGAGUUAUCCGCCUAGAUUCUUUAUUGGACCUUUUCAGACCGCUGUCCAGCCACGGCCUGCUUGCUGAGGAGGGAUGAGCACUAAACUAGGUUCCCCCCAAAGCAUCUUGCUGCAUCAAGGAACAGAAGAGAAGGCCACGUCCAUCAGGCCCAGCCGCGCGAGAUCAAAGCGCUCGUUCGUGGGGUGCGGACCGUGCCACGGCAGGCGUGUGCAGCGCCCUGACAUUACGUUGUCAUGGAUAAAUCAUGGCAAAGAGCAAAUAUUCUUUUCAAUCACAGUGCGCUUCACAAAGGGCUUUUCUGAACGUAUUGUCUGCGCGCAGCCCUCCCGCCCCGUAAGCUUGCGCGGAAACAAUCCACCGCCGGGACAGCUCAUCGGGAAAGCAUUCACAUUGACUGGAAAUGAGAAGACUUAUCUCACAGCGGUCUCCCUUACAGUACUGAAAUUGCUUGCUAACGACAGCGUGCGCCGCUGAGCCGCUGCACUGAGACAUAAAUCACACGUGUGCCGGGAUAUUACAGCCGGGGCACGGCUCGACGCGGGCUCCGCUUCACCGGGUGCGCAAUAGCACACAACUAGUCCAAGCUCCCACCUUAUUUUCGAUGGUGAGCAAAGAAAAAUGGAGAUAUUCGCAGCAUUUCAGCAGUCUUAAGGCUGGUUUGUCACAUUCUGGGUUCCUGUGAAUACAACAUCACUAUCUGCUGCAGCCAGUAAAGGGAGAGGUGAGCUGGCACCUCACCCUCUUCUGCAGACCAUUGCUUAGCCCAGAAUUUGAAGUAGGUGCAAGAGGCCGAACGCUGCUCACCUGAAAGUCAGCAGGAAAGUUAAAGCCAACUUUGACAGAGACAAAUAGGUCUGUAAUGCUACUCUACAGGAACAAAAACUUUCUCCUAUGUGUUGUUCAAAACUUGGAGGAAUUUUGUAAGCUCAUCCUGACAUUGCUGUUAGAACAGUGGCAUCUUGCACAUAUUUUGUUAGCAGAGCAACAAAAGGGAUUUGUUUUACUUUAAAAACAAAAUUCAAACACAAUAAAAAACUCCUACAUACUAUUGCUAUGGUUAUCUGAGCUACCUCAGCAAGCCAGGAAAAAACGUACACUUUAGCUUAAAGGAGAAUUCUCCUAAAUUCUCAGAAAAUGUGCAAGGCGUUUGUAUGGCACUAUCCUACCCUUUAAAAAUUUGACCUGAUCAGACACUAGACUGCAAAUCAGCCCCUUCAUGGGAAACAGGAACAGAGUUGACAGAAUCUCCAUACUGGAAAAAGUGCAAAAAAGGAACACAUUGGAACAAGCUUAUGUCUCCCUGAACGAUACAGCUCUAACAUCCAUUCUUCACCUGAUUAGCUUCUUGUGUCAGGCACUAAAAUGUGAGAUGAAUACAGCGCUGAGGAGCUGACUCAGGGUCUGCCAGGUUUAAAGGCAUUUCUAAGAGACUUUGCCUGGGGAUGAGAUGAUGACGCCUGCCCUCUAUUAUCAAGAAAAGCAAUGGAACGAACGGCACCUUCAUGCAUGCCCCAAAAGAUGAAUCAAACCCAGUACCUUUUUAGAGGGAAAAAGAUCUUAAAAACAGAAAGUCGUUGUACUAUAGCUCGAGUUUGCAUCAAAGUAGCAUUGCACAAAAUCUCUGGACAAACAGCUAAGGGCUGAAAGAGAGAAAAGUUUCCAUUCUGUUGCCCGUGUGAAAUCCAACGCUUGUUGCCAUUCUUCUGUCAAAUCAUUUUGGAAGGAAAAUGACUCCUUUGCUCUACUACAUGAGGCUUUUAAGAAAACAUUUUGCAGUUAUUUUUAUUUUUUCUGAUGUAAAAUGUUUCUUUUUCAGGUUUUUCUUUACUACACAGCCCUCUCUCCCACCCUCACGACUUAGUGUCAGCGAAGACUGUAUCUUUUAACUAAGUUUUUUCGUAGAGUAAAAAUCCUGUAGAACUACCCAUUAGCUCCUGUUAUUGUGAAUUGUUUGGAGUUUCAUCUAAGCUUUUGUAUUUCCUGCGGCACUCAGAAGGGCUGGGCUGGGAAAUGCCUUUCUGGCGGCGAACGGGGUCCGCUGGAACCGGCCGCUCCCUUGGGUCAGCGGACAAUCGGAGGAACUGCUUCUCCCGGCCACUUCUGUCGCGUUUCAUCAGUUUGGGUUUUGCCGCGUCGGCGCUUCGGUCGCACUGCUUAACCCUCUCAGUGGCCCAGGCACCACGCGCCCUGCUCCUGCUGGAGCCCCUUGUCGAGGGCCUGAAAGACAAGCGAUGAUUUGGGAUGCCUCCACCUCAGGAAGUCAACUCAAAGCGCUACAGAAACCCACUUCAAGAUGGCAUCGAGCAGCAGAGCAAGGGACUUCCGCAAAGAGUCACCUGAUUUUGUUCUUCCCCGAGUACGGGACCAGCCCUAUCAUGCAGCUACGUUUUAAGGUUUUGAUCAAAAAGUUUCUUUUUAAAAUCGCUUAAAAGAAUAAGGAACAGCCAAAAAACACGAAAUGUUCUAUUACUGUAAAGCCUCGGCGGGGGCCCCGUUAGUACUCAAACUGGAAGAAAACGGCGUAAGAGGCGCUACGCACUGUAGCAAACUCCGAACACAACCGGAGAAGCAAAAUGACUCACAAGGGCCGGGCUGAGCACCAGCAUCCGUGGGCAGCGCCACGCCGCUCCGGGAGCCGGGAUGCCUGGACUGAACGGGCAGCCGCUGGGGCUGGAGCCGGGAGAAGGAGCGGGUGCUGAAACGGGAGCCCGAGGAGGGAGCGCUACCCUUCUACCUGCUUUGGCCAUGUCAGAAAGAAAAGUAAAAGCAGCUCUAAAGUAUUGGGGGGGACAGGAAA